RNAcentral lists this ribosomal RNA (484 nucleotides) under uncultured bacterium. RNAcentral's name for it is "partial 16S ribosomal RNA". It matches the Rfam family "Bacterial small subunit ribosomal RNA", at positions 30 to 507 of the family's 1533-position model. The record is from RNAcentral.
AUUGAACGCUGGCGGCAGGCCUAACACAUGCAAGUCGAGCGGAUGAAGGGAGCUUGCUCCUGGAUUCAGCGGCGGACGGGUGAGUAAUGCCUAGGAAUCUGCCUGGUAGUGGGGGAUAACGUCCGGAAACGGGCGCUAAUACCGCAUACGUCCUGAGGGAGAAAGUGGGGGAUCUUCGGACCUCACGCUAUCUGAUGAGCCUAGGUCGGAUUAGCUAGUUGGUGGGGUAAAGGCCUACCAAGGCGACGAUCCGUAACUGGUCUGAGAGGAUGAUCAGUCACACUGGAACUGAGACACGGUCCAGACUCCUACGGGAGGCAGCAGUGGGGAAUAUUGGACAAUGCGCGAAAGCCUGCUCCAGCCAUGCCGCGUGUGUGAAGAAGGUCUUCGGAUUGUAAAGCACUUUCAGUUGGGAGGAAGGGCAGUAAGUUAAUACCUUGCUGUUUUGACGUUACCAACAGAAUAAGCACCGGCUACCUUCGUG